GAGUUUGAUCGUGGCUCAGAUUGAACGCUGGCGGCAGGCCUAACACAUGCAAGUCGAGCGGUUGAAGAUAGCUUGCUAUUGGAUACAGCGGCGGACGGGUGAGUAAUACAUGGGAAUCUGCCUGGUAGUGGGGGACAACGUUUCGAAAGGAACGCUAAUACCGCAUACGCCCUACGGGGGAAAGGGGGGAGGUCUUCGUACCGUCUCGCUAUCAGAUGAGCCCACUGUCAGAUU
Molecule: ribosomal RNA, 234 nt
Filed under: uncultured Gammaproteobacteria bacterium
Lineage: Bacteria; Pseudomonadati; Pseudomonadota; Gammaproteobacteria
Description: partial 16S ribosomal RNA
Rfam family: Bacterial small subunit ribosomal RNA
Source: RNAcentral